Molecule: ribosomal RNA, 115 nt
Filed under: Diaphorina citri (Asian citrus psyllid)
Lineage: Eukaryota; Metazoa; Arthropoda; Insecta; Hemiptera; Psyllidae
Source: RNAcentral
GCCAGCGAUAUCACGUUGAAUGCACCAGUUCUCUAUAGAUCACUAAAGUUAAGCAACGUUAAGCUCUGUUGAAAUCGGGAUAGGUUACCGUCUGAGUUAUUGCUUACUGCUGGCU